Molecule: ribosomal RNA, 492 nt
Filed under: uncultured bacterium
Lineage: Bacteria
Description: partial 16S ribosomal RNA
Rfam family: Bacterial small subunit ribosomal RNA
Source: RNAcentral
AGUGAACGCUGGCGGUAGGCCUAACACAUGCCAGUCGAACGGCAGCACAGUAAGAGCUUGCUCUUACGGGUGGCGAGUGGCGGACGGGUGAGGAAUACAUCGGAAUCUACUUUUUCGUGGGGGAUAACGUAGGGAAACUUACGCUAAUACCGCAUACCACCUACGGGUGAAAGCAGGGGAUCUUCGGACCUUGCGCGAUUGAAUGAGCCGAUGUCGGAUUAGCUAGUUGGCGGGGUAAAGGCCCGCCAAGGCGACGAUCCGUAGCUGGUCUGAGAGGAUGAUCAGCCACACUGGAACUGAGACACGGUCCAGACUCCUACGGGAGGCAGCAGUGGGGAAUAUUGGACAAUGGGCGCAAGCCUGAUCCAGCCAUACCGCGUGGGUGAAGAAGGCCUUCGGGUUGUAAGGCCCUUUUGUUGGGAAAGAAAAGCAGCAGGUUAAUACCCCGCUGUUCUGACGGUACCCAAAGAAUAAGCACCGGCUAACUUCGUG